Long non-coding RNA from Engraulis encrasicolus (European anchovy), 498 nucleotides. RefSeq lists it as uncharacterized. The record is from RefSeq and is a predicted model, not a curated record. NCBI's taxonomy places the organism in Eukaryota, Metazoa, Chordata, Actinopteri, Clupeiformes, Engraulidae. The transcript has 2 exons.
UUUAUUGUCAAUUUCUUUACAUGCACUGGUCAUACAAAGAAUUUGAAAUUGCGGAACCAUCAAGGCCAUAAGAAAACGUGCCACUUGACCAAAAAAAAGGGCUUCAUAAAUACUUCCAUAAGUCAAAAUGUAAUUACGCUGUUGGGGAUUGAGAAUACCAUCAUGUAUUAUAGCACACCGACCACUCCUCACCUUCCUCCAUGAGCUAACCAGCUUGAUAUGACUGUACACCCAUGGAGUAAUUGUACAUUAGCAUAAGGCUGAAUACAAGGGUGCCAUGCUGAAGACCUUGGCCGCAUCAUGUAUGUACUUUAAAUCUGUCAUGAAAGACAUUCUAUACAGGUAUUUAUGUACACACAGUGAUGUGUACACGUGUUGGGUCUGCCUGUGGUACAUAGACAUUAUAGCUCUUAAGAACAUCAGCUGCAUCUUGUUAUAUGGGACGUACCAUACCACACUCAUUGUGAAAGCAAAUAAAAAUGGAUUUUGCAUCAUAAA